This 658-nucleotide ribosomal RNA is filed under the name Salmonella enterica. RNAcentral's name for it is "partial 23S ribosomal RNA". It matches the Rfam family "Bacterial large subunit ribosomal RNA", at positions 2146 to 2803 of the family's 2925-position model. The record is from RNAcentral. Lineage: Bacteria; Pseudomonadati; Pseudomonadota; Gammaproteobacteria; Enterobacterales; Enterobacteriaceae.
GGUGGGAGGCUUUGAAGUGUGGACGCCAGUCUGCAUGGAGCCGACCUUGAAAUACCACCCUUUAAUGUUUGAUGUUCUAACGUGGACCCGUAAUCCGGGUUGCGGACAGUGUCUGGUGGGUAGUUUGACUGGGGCGGUCUCCUCCUAAAGAGUAACGGAGGAGCACGAAGGUUGGCUAAUCCUGGUCGGACAUCAGGAGGUUAGUGCAAUGGCAUAAGCCAGCUUGACUGCGAGCGUGACGGCGCGAGCAGGUGCGAAAGCAGGUCAUAGUGAUCCGGUGGUUCUGAAUGGAAGGGCCAUCGCUCAACGGAUAAAAGGUACUCCGGGGAUAACAGGCUGAUACCGCCCAAGAGUUCAUAUCGACGGCGGUGUUUGGCACCUCGAUGUCGGCUCAUCACAUCCUGGGGCUGAAGUAGGUCCCAAGGGUAUGGCUGUUCGCCAUUUAAAGUGGUACGCGAGCUGGGUUUAGAACGUCGUGAGACAGUUCGGUCCCUAUCUGCCGUGGGCGCUGGAGAACUGAGGGGGGCUGCUCCUAGUACGAGAGGACCGGAGUGGACGCAUCACUGGUGUUCGGGUUGUCAUGCCAAUGGCACUGCCCGGUAGCUAAAUGCGGAAGAGAUAAGUGCUGAAAGCAUCUAAGCACGAAACUUGCCCCGAG